GACGAACGCUGGCGGCGUGCUUAACACAUGCAAGUCGAACGGAAAGGCCCUGCUUUUGUGGGGUGCUCGAGUGGCGAACGGGUGAGUAACACGUGAGUAACCUGCCCUUGACUUUGGGAUAACUUCAGGAAACUGGGGCUAAUACCGGAUAGGAGCUCCUGCUGCAUGGUGGGGGUUGGAAAGUUUCGGCGGUUGGGGAUGGACUCGCGGCUUAUCAGCUUGUUGGCGAGGUAGUGGCUUACCAAGGCUUUGACGGGUAGCCGGCCUGAGAGGGUGACCGGCCACAUUGGGACUGAGAUACGGCCCAGACUCCUACGGGAGGCAGCAGUGGGGAAUAUUGCACAAUGGGCGGAAGCCUGAUGCAGCAACGCCGCGUGCGGGAUGACGGCCUUCGGGUUGUAAACCGCUUUCGCCUGUGACGAAGCGUGAGUGACGGUAAUGGGUAAAGAAGCACCGGCUAACUACGUG
RNAcentral lists this ribosomal RNA (468 nucleotides) under uncultured bacterium. Its description in RNAcentral is "partial 16S ribosomal RNA". It matches the Rfam family "Bacterial small subunit ribosomal RNA", at positions 28 to 507 of the family's 1533-position model. The record is from RNAcentral.